Molecule: ribosomal RNA, 496 nt
Filed under: uncultured bacterium
Lineage: Bacteria
Description: partial 16S ribosomal RNA
Rfam family: Bacterial small subunit ribosomal RNA
Source: RNAcentral
GACGAACGCUGGCGGCGUGCCUAAUACAUGCAAGUUGAGCGCUGAAGGUUGGUACUUGUACCAACUGGAUGAGCAGCGAACGGGUGAGUAACGCGUGGGGAAUCUGCCUUUGAGCGGGGACAACAUUUGGAAACGAAUGCUAAUACCGCAUAAAAACUUUAAACACAAGUUUUAAGGUUGAAAGAUGCAAUUGCAUCACUCAAAGAUGAUCCCGCGUUGUAUUAGCUAGUUGGUGAGGUAAAGGCUCACCAAGGCGAUGAUACAUAGCCGACCUGAGAGGGUGAUCGGCCACAUUGGGACUGAGACACGGCCCAAACUCCUACGGGAGGCAGCAGUAGGGAAUCUUCGGCAAUAGACGAAAGUCUGACCGAGCAACGCCGCGUGAGUGAAGAAGGUUUUCGGAUCGUAAAACUCUGUUGGUAGAGAAGAACGUUGGUGAGAGUGGAAAGCUCAUCAAGUGACGGUAACUACCCAGAAAGGGACGGCUAACUACGUG